AAAAAUUUACCGGGCGUGGUGGCGGGCACCUGUAAUCCCAGCUACUCUGGAAGCUGAAACAGGAGAAUCGCUUGAAGCCGGGACGGGGGAGGGUGCAGUGAGCCGAGAACGCGCCACUGCACUCCAGCCUGGGUGACAAGAGCAAAACUCCGUCUCAAAAAAGAAAAAAAAGAGAGAAAAGAAAAAAAGUCAUAUGUACAUUAUAAAUACAUACAUCUACCAUGUGCCUACAAAAAUUGAAAACAAAACAAAACAAUCCACGAUUAUAAGCUUUUAUAUUAAGGGAGAACCUCUGACCAGAAAGAGCCGACAGGAGGCGAUCCUGGACGUAAAUUGCGAGACGCGGAGGAUUGUGGGACUUGUAGUUUUUCUAACAUCACUUAAGCUUUCUGGACUACAUGUCCCAAAAUGCAAGUGCAAUCAAACAAUCCCACCGUGGGUUGUGAAGUGGUCCUGGAACCGUGAGAGAAUGAAGAUGAGCUUUGGGUUGACUUUCAGGUCAGCAAAAGGCCGUGGGAUUGCAAACCCCAGCCGGCAGUGCUCAAAAGGUUCCACUGAGUUAUUUGUGCCAGCAAGUCCUCCUUUGGACCCUGAGAAGGUCAAAGAGUUACAGCGCUUCAUCACCCUUUCCAAGAGACUCCUCGUGAUGACUGGGGCAGGAAUCUCCACCGAAUCAGGAAUACCAGACUACAGGUCAGAAAACGUGGGGCUUUAUGCCCGCACUGACCGCAGGCCCAUCCAACAUAGCGAUUUUGUCCGGAGUGCCCCAAUCCGCCAGCGGUACUGGGCAAGAAGCUUCGUGGGCUGGCCUCGAUUCUCCUCCCACCAGCCUAACCCUGCACACUGGGCUUUGAGCACCUGGGAGAAACUCGGAAAGCUGUACUGGUUGGUGACCCAAAAUGUGGAUGCUCUGCACACCAAGGCGGGGAGUCGGCGCUUAACAGAGCUCCACGGAUGCAUGCACAGGCUGGAGUACAAUGGCAGGAUCUCGGCUCACUGCAACAUCUGCCUCCCGGGUUCAAGGGAUUCUCCUGCCUCAGCCUCCCGAGUAGCUGGGAUUAUAGGCAUGUGCCACCACACCAGGGUCCUGUGCUUGGAUUGCGGGGAGCAGACUCCCCGGGGGUUGCUGCAGGAGCGCUUCCAAGUCCUAAACCCCACCUGGAGUGCGGAGGCCCAUGGCCUGGCUCCUGAUGGUGACGCCUUUCUCUCAGAGGAGCAAGUCCAGAACUUUCAGGUCCCAUCCUGCGUUCAAUGUGGAGGCCGUCUGAAACCAGACGUCGUCUUCUUCGGAGACACAGUGAACCCUGACAAAGUUGAUUUUGUGCACAAGCGUGUAAAAGAAGCUGACUCCCUCUUGGUGGUGGGAUCAUCCUUGCAGGUGUACUCUGGUUACAGGUUUAUCCUCACUGCCCAGGAGAAGAAGCUGCCAAUUGCAAUACUGAACAUUGGGCCCACACGGUCAGAUGACUUGGCAUGUCUGAAACUGAAUUCUCGUUGUGGAGAGUUGCUGCCUUUGAUAGACCCACGCUGACUACAGCCUGAUGUUCCAGAACGUGGAACAGGGACUUGGACUUGAAUCUUGCUGCGAAAGAUGAAGACUGAAGCUUGGAGACUUUGUGUAAUCUGCCCAAGGUCAGCAAGAACGUGACUAGACCAGGAAUGAAGGCCAGUCUGUCAAGUUGUGAGCUCGCUCUUGGACUUUGUGCUGUAGAAACCUGCUGGGGUAACAACAGCUGUACCUGGGGAAGAACAAAGCUCAGGAAACUUCCAAAAGUGACCCAGGCUGGGUUCUGAAAGACAAACAUGCCUUCACCAGGUAGGAAAAGGGAGGAGGCAACUCAUGCAAAAGCACGGAGGUUAGACCAGCAAAUCUCUUCGGGUUUUUUACCCCUUCAACGUUUGGGUGAAAAUUUGAGUGUAGAUGUGGGGCGCCUCAGGGGCCUGUAGCUCGCCCAACACCCCCUCACCUCUCUGCUUGGGCAUCUCUCCUCCCAGCUCCCCUUCGUUCCCUGCACCCCACUUUCCCUACCCGCUAAUCCGUCCCUGGGAUAAAAUCAAAGAAGGCAAUGCCCACAGGAAACAGGCAUGAGGGAGCUGGGGAACAGGGAAAAGUGACUUCGAGAGUAACAUCCACGUGGGUUCGCCCUCUUUUUUCACUCUAACGCUCACUUUGUCCUUCCUCCUGGAUUCUGGCUCAGGAGAAGAGCGCCGCCAGGACCCCACGAAGCCGCAGACAGGAGCUGCGGCCGCCACCACCUCUAGCAGACGCAGUCUGGUGCGCUCAUUACCAGUCACUGCGCCUGCGCAGACUCGCGUUUCUUUUGCGCGCGAGAAGGGCGGAGCUUGAGAGGGGUGGACCGGGCAGUAGACCAGGGGGCUGGGCCACUAGUCACCAAUAGAAAAGAGAGAUCGAGAGCCACGUGCCCAUAAGAUAACCAAUUACAAUCAAAUCCUCUGGCCAGGGAUGGGGGGCGGUGGACUAGAGUUUGACUGGGUUGGGCACGUAGCAUCACGUGACAUGAAAAGGUAAAUACAGCCACGUGGCUUUUUCUUCUUGGCUUUGGCGAACCAUUACGUCACACUCUACCUUCCCCGAACAAUUAUUUAAUGAACAUAUGUGAUGCACUAGACACUGAAGAUACCGUGGUUGCUAGAAUUUGUAAUCUCUCUGUCAAAUUACUCUGUCCCGCUUAUUUCCUUGUUUCUUCAUUCAAAUCAUCCUAGCCCUUCAACUGAUUUCUCGUG
RNA transcript from Callithrix jacchus (white-tufted-ear marmoset), 2745 nucleotides. It is a transcript of the gene named sirtuin 4, with no coding region annotated. The record is from RefSeq and is a predicted model, not a curated record. NCBI's taxonomy places the organism in Eukaryota, Metazoa, Chordata, Mammalia, Primates, Cebidae.